RNAcentral lists this long non-coding RNA (311 nucleotides) under Elaeis guineensis (African oil palm). RNAcentral's name for it is "long non-coding RNA (EGUI_LNC000024)". The record is from RNAcentral. Lineage: Eukaryota; Viridiplantae; Streptophyta; Magnoliopsida; Arecales; Arecaceae.
CAGUCGAGAUUUUCGACUUGUCUGGAACUAUGCCAGCUGGAUUGAAGCUUGAGGCCUCAGUGCUGAGGGAUCCCACACUGGUGAGCUAGCUACUUUUCGGACUGCUCCUCCCUGUCGAUGUAAAUAAGCUGCUGAGCAUUCCUCAGAGGGAUAUGAGGAGAGGAGCCAUAGAUUGUCUCAUCCAGAUAUGUUGGGACUUUUUCAUUUAGCACUUACUAUAUGCUCAUUUAUCAUUUAUGAAUUUUUCUUCACUUGCUAACUUACCCAUUACUUGAAUGGGUACAUUAAAAGCUCCCGUGAGCUGGCCAAAG